Molecule: non-coding RNA, 99 nt
Organism: Acanthosepion pharaonis
Lineage: Eukaryota; Metazoa; Mollusca; Cephalopoda; Sepiida; Sepiidae
Source: the annotation of a GenBank genome assembly
GCUGAAAAUACCAGUUCUUGUUUGAUCCCUGAAGUUAGGUAGUGUUGAGCCUGUUUAGUACUUAGAUGGGGGACGGUUUGGGAACACCAUGUACUGUAA